Molecule: ribosomal RNA, 150 nt
Filed under: uncultured Cortinarius
Lineage: Eukaryota; Fungi; Basidiomycota; Agaricomycetes; Agaricales; Cortinariaceae
Description: partial 28S ribosomal RNA
Rfam family: Eukaryotic large subunit ribosomal RNA
Source: RNAcentral
GUGACCUCAAAUCAGGUAGGACUACCCGCUGAACUUAAGCAUAUCAAUAAGCGGAGGAAAAGAAACUAACAAGGAUUCCCUAGUAACUGCGAGUGAAGCGGGAAAAGCUCAAAUUUAAAAUCUGUCAGUCUUUGGCUGUCCGAGUUGUAA